AGUGAACGCUGGCGGUAGGCCUAACACAUGCAAGUCGAACGGCAGCACAGUAAGAGCUUGCUCUUACGGGUGGCGAGUGGCGGACGGGUGAGGAAUACAUCGGAAUCUACUUUUUCGUGGGGGAUAACGUAGGGAAACUUACGCUAAUACCGCAUACGACCUACGGGUGAAAGCAGGGGAUCUUCGGACCUUGCGCAAUUGAAUGAGCCGAUGUCGGAUUAGCUAGUUGGCGGGGUAAAGGCCCACCAAGGCGACGAUCCGUAGCUGGUCUGAGAGGAUGAUCAGCCACACUGGAACUGAGACACGGUCCAGACUCCUACGGGAGGCAGCAGUGGGGAAUAUUGGACAAUGGGCGCGAGCCUGAUCCAGCCAUACCGCGUGGGUGAAGAAGGCCUUCGGGUUGUAAAGCCCUUUUGUUGGGAAAGAAAAGCAGCAGGUUAAUACCCCGCUGUUCUGACGGUACCCAAAGAAUAAGCACCGGCUAACUUCGUG
RNAcentral lists this ribosomal RNA (492 nucleotides) under uncultured bacterium. RNAcentral's name for it is "partial 16S ribosomal RNA". It matches the Rfam family "Bacterial small subunit ribosomal RNA", at positions 29 to 507 of the family's 1533-position model. The record is from RNAcentral.